GAUGAAGAACGUAGUGAAAUGCGAUAAGUAAUGCGAAUUGCAGAAUUCCGUGAGUCAUCGAAUCUUUGAACGCACAUUGCGCCCUCUGGUAUUCCGGAGGGCAUGCCUGUCUGAGCGUCAUUGUCAACCCUCAAGCUCAGCUUGCUGUUGGGUCCCCGUCGUUGCUUUAACGGCGGACCCGAAAGGUAAUGGCAGAGUCCGUGAGACCCUAGACGCAGCGAGCUUCUAGCACGCGUCUGGACGUUUUUCGGGCUCGGUCUUAACUAGAUGAUAACUUCCGAUUGACCUCAGAUCAGGUAGGGAUACCCGCUGAACUUAAGCAUAUCAAUAAGCGGAGGA
This 339-nucleotide unclassified non-coding RNA is filed under the name soil metagenome. RNAcentral's name for it is "partial contains 5.8S ribosomal RNA, internal transcribed spacer 2, and large subunit ribosomal RNA". The stretch from base 1 to 120 matches the Rfam family "5.8S ribosomal RNA", at positions 35 to 154 of the family's 154-position model. The record is from RNAcentral.